CCGAUCCCUAAAUCACUCUACGUGCCUCCUCAGUCCUCCCCGAAUCUUCACUCUCAAUCCCAAUCCCAAUCCCUUACUUGAAAAGUUGAUAAAAUCUCAAAGAGCCCAUAAGUUUUCUCAAGAAUUUAGUUCUAAAGGAGGCUAUUUGCAGAAGUGGAGCAAGAUUUGAAGAGAGUUGGAGAGUUGCAGUUCGAUACUUCGAUUUGAAGAAAAGGAGUUCAAGUGUAUCAAGAUGGUAAUCUGAGAUCUUAUUUCGGUUUGAUACUGUGUCAUCUCUCUCAUUGCUGGAGAACCUAUAGGGUAAUCCUCUCUCCACCCUGUGUGCAUUGGGGGUUUGAAGAUAUUUGCUCAAAUUCCAGGCGAAGGUCAUAAUUUACAGGAACAUGAAUCUAGGAGUUUUUCUUUCUUUGUUCUGCAUUUGCAUUCAAGUUCUUUAUCUCAUAUUCAUUGCCUCGUUCGGUCUCGCUAAGAUGGCAUGGGUAUUGAACUAUUGAUUAUUGAAUCUGCAGAAAUUGCUACGGGAAGGUUUAGCUGAUUUGUAUCACAGUCCUAGCUUUAGGAAAGUUUCUGUAAUGUAAACGUACAUGUAAUUGUUAUGUUUGUUGGGCCUAUGUAAUUGUUAUGUAAGGAUGACAAUUUAUAAUGUUUUUUUUCUAG
This 657-nucleotide long non-coding RNA is filed under the name Rosa chinensis. RNAcentral describes it as "sRNA RchiOBHm_Chr5g0027721". The record is from RNAcentral. Lineage: Eukaryota; Viridiplantae; Streptophyta; Magnoliopsida; Rosales; Rosaceae.